This 228-nucleotide unclassified non-coding RNA is filed under the name plant metagenome. Its description in RNAcentral is "partial contains small subunit ribosomal RNA, internal transcribed spacer 1, and 5.8S ribosomal RNA". The record is from RNAcentral.
UCUCCGUAGGUGAACCUGCGGAGGGAUCAUUACAGAGUUCUCGCCCUCGCGGGUAGAUCUCCCACCCACUGUUAUCGUUACUGUGUUGCUUUGGCGGGCCGCCGGGCCCCGCUCGGCCGCCGGCUCCGGCUGGCGCGCGCCCGCCAGAGGCCCAGCAAACUCUGAAUGUUAGUGUCGUCUGAGUACUAUAUAAUAGUUAAAACUUUCAACAACGGAUCUCUUGGUUCU